GCUGUUCCCAGCCCAGCACUUGAGACCCCCCGGUGACCUGGGAUGGGUACCACCAGUUAUCCUUGGACAUAGCAGGACCCUGUGGUUCCCGGGGACAGGGGCAGCUAAGCUGGAGCGGAUUCUCAGCAUCCCUUUCAACUAGGCAUGGCCACAUGAGGCCUUGGACAAAGGAUGACACCUGACUAUAAGCAGCAGAGCAAGCACUGGGGAAAGAAGGCCUGCCUGCUCUCCCCGGAACCCAGGCUGCUGAGACCCGGCCGGCCAGGGCCAGAGGCUCAUUUCCAAAGAGCCCACAUCGACAUAUGUUCCCUGAGGAAGCGCACAGCCCACAGGCAGGUCUGCACCCCCUCCAUGGAGAGAGGCCUCCCGCCGGCCUCUGUCCUCUCAGCCACACAUCCUGCCUCUCCUGAGCAUGGGUUUGCACUAAGGGGACCACGGACAGGAGGACAAGAGUGUCCGUGCCACAGGCUGCCUGUGAGAGACUCCUGCAGCAGGGACAAGAAGUGACUGUUUACAAAACCCACACCGCAGGACUGUGCCUCCAAGAUGUCUUGGGUCUGGGGUCGGCAGAUGGUCUCUGCCAAGGGCUGGAAAGCAAGUGUGCUUGGACUCGGCAGGCUGCACGGUCUCUGUCAUAGCCACGUGCUGAAAGCACCCGUGGACAACACACACACACAAAAGAGUGUGUCUAUCCCCCAGUAAAACUUUAUUUACAAAAAUAGGCAGCAAGCAGAUCUAACCUGAGGCCUCAAAUCCAGAGCUAAUUCAGAUAAAGGAACCCGAGAGAAGUGUCCAGGAAGGGAGCUGCCCUCUUCAGCCUUUCAUCCAGGCACACAUUCUUUGUCCAGCCUCCCAAGACCCGUGGGACUGCCUGGCUCCCAUCUGGGUCUCUCAACAACCAUAGUUCUCCAUAUUCAACAACCUCCCAGAGCCCUGCUCAUCAGAACGUGGACGGGACCUUCCCAUGCUUGUCUGUUACCAGCACCACCCUCACAUGCCCUAGCUUUCAUCUCCCAAUGCCAGACCAUGGGUCUUAUCUGGACAAAGUGAUAAAUAUGAGGACACAGCAAAAAAAAAAAAAAAUUACUGGUGGUGUCACAAAAGACGUCACCAAGCUGACAUACGAGCUGGGUCUUUAUCACACAAAGAAGAAAGAAAAGCAGGUUCCAGGUAGAGGAGAGAAACUGCUAAACAGAACACUGCCAUGAGGUUUUCACCUUAGAAAGACAAACAUUUUCAGUAGGGAAGGAUGGAAAAGGGCAAGGUCAGAGGCAGAGAUGCAAGAAUGGGCUAAGAGGCUGGGCAGAUGGGGAUGAUGGCUGGCAUCAUGGACUCUGUGUUGUGUCCCCUGACACACACACAAACUCGUGUGCUGGAAUCACCAUCCCCAGUGUGGUGAUGUCAGGAGGUGGGUCCUGGGAGGUGAUUAGGUCAUCAGGGUGGGGCCCUCGUGACAGGGUUGGUGCCUUUAGAAGAAGAGAUAGCAAAGAGCUUGUCCCCCUCUGCUCUCUCUGCCACAUGAGGAGAUGGUGAGAACCAGAGGUCAGAGGUCAGUCGGCUCCCAGACUCCCAUCUGCUGGUACCUUGACCUUGGACUCCCACCCUUCAAAAUUGAGACAAAUAAAUGCUUAUUGUUUAGCCCAUCCAUUCUC
Molecule: long non-coding RNA, 1652 nt
Organism: Capra hircus (goat)
Lineage: Eukaryota; Metazoa; Chordata; Mammalia; Artiodactyla; Bovidae
Source: Ensembl